RNAcentral lists this non-coding RNA (24 nucleotides) under Arabidopsis thaliana (thale cress). Lineage: Eukaryota; Viridiplantae; Streptophyta; Magnoliopsida; Brassicales; Brassicaceae. The record is from RNAcentral.
GGCUCUUGUAGCGCACUGGUCUGC